Panicum virgatum (switchgrass) is the source of this 262-nucleotide long non-coding RNA. RefSeq lists it as uncharacterized. NCBI's taxonomy places the organism in Eukaryota, Viridiplantae, Streptophyta, Magnoliopsida, Poales, Poaceae. The transcript is spliced from 2 exons. The record is from RefSeq and is a predicted model, not a curated record.
UUGCUUAGAGAAAGGUCAAAGUUGAAAGAUGACAUAAUUCAAGCCGUAAGGCAAGAGUUCGAGAACAAGAGGAUACAUAUUGAAGGUGAAAAGUGUAAAGCCAAAAAUUCUCAAGGCCAAAGCAUGCAAACCUGAGGAAAUCAUGGUAGGUGGGCACCAAGCUUUGGAUGAUUUAGAUGAGGCCUAGAGUAAUUACUAAGCCCGGAAACCAAACAAAGUAGUAUUGAGCCGAGAGGCUUUAUUAGUUGUGCACUUUGGGGGG